RNAcentral lists this ribosomal RNA (259 nucleotides) under uncultured soil bacterium. RNAcentral's name for it is "partial 16S ribosomal RNA". It matches the Rfam family "Bacterial small subunit ribosomal RNA", at positions 26 to 285 of the family's 1533-position model. The record is from RNAcentral.
AGGACGAACGCUGGCGGCGUGCCUAACACAUGCAAGUCGAACGGGACCAGGGGCAACUCUGGUUCAGUGGCGGACGGGUGCGUAACACGUGAGGAACAUGACCUUCGGCGGGGGAUAGCCGGCCCAACGGCCGGGUAAUACCGGCGUACGACCACAUGGGGACAUCCCUGAGUGGUGAAAGCAGCAAUGCGCCGAUGGAGUGCCUCGCGGCCUAUCAGCUAGUUGGUGAGGUAACGGCUCACCAAGGCAACGACGGGUA